RNAcentral lists this ribosomal RNA (376 nucleotides) under uncultured bacterium. Its description in RNAcentral is "bacterial SSU rRNA". It matches the Rfam family "Bacterial small subunit ribosomal RNA", at positions 521 to 896 of the family's 1533-position model. The record is from RNAcentral.
UAAUACGUAGGGACCAAGCGUUGUUCGGAUUUACUGGGCGUAAAGGGCGCGUAGGCGGCGUGUUAAGUCACUUGUGAAAUCUCUAAGCUUAACUUAGAACGGUCAAGUGAUACUGAUGUGCUAGAGUGCAGAAGGGGCAACCGGAAUUCUUGGUGUAGCGGUGAAAUGCGUAGAUAUCAAGAGGAACACCUGAGGUGAAGACGGGUUGCUGGGCUGACACUGACGCUGAGGCGCGAAAGCUAGGGUAGCAAACGGGAUUAGAUACCCCGGUAGUCCUAGCCCUAAACGAUGAAUACUUGGUGUCUGGAGUUCUUUUCUCCGGGUGCCGUCGCUAACGUUUUAAGUAUUCCGCCUGGGGAGUACGCACGCAAGUGUG